AUGGCAGCACUUCCUGCAACAGCACAUGUACUAAAAAACUAGAACGAUACAGAGAAAAUUAGCAUGGUCCCUGUGCAGGAUGACAUGCAAAUUUGUGAAGCAUGUCACAUAUUA
This is a small nuclear RNA of Pteropus vampyrus (large flying fox), 114 nucleotides long. The record is from Ensembl. NCBI's taxonomy places the organism in Eukaryota, Metazoa, Chordata, Mammalia, Chiroptera, Pteropodidae.